UCUUCACAAUUUAUGUUCUUCUGCCAUGGCUUCAGCUGGUCCCUCCGUUUGGGGUACCUGACUUCCCGCAACACUUUUCAGAAUUAGAAAAAGCUACUUUAAAUUUCAUAUGGAACCAAAAAAGAGCCCGUAUGGUCAAGACAAUCCUAAGCAAAAAGAACAGAGCUGGAGGCAUCAUGCUACCUGACUUCCAACUAUACU
This 201-nucleotide long non-coding RNA is filed under the name Homo sapiens (human). Its description in RNAcentral is "non-protein coding lnc-OTUD4-6:1". Lineage: Eukaryota; Metazoa; Chordata; Mammalia; Primates; Hominidae. The record is from RNAcentral.